ACACUUUUGAGGGGAAGCUCACAGCCUCAAGGCACUGCAGGGGGAAGCUCAGAGCCACAGACAUCCUUGAGGUCCUCGUAGCAGAGGAAGAGUACGGGGUGCGCCACCCGCACCUGCCGCCCGCCCCCCACGCGCUCGCGCCACAAACCCCAGGCCACUGCAGGGACAGGAGAGGCCUGGGCAGGGCUGAGAGGAGCAACAGGUGGUGACUCCACCCCUUCUGCCCUGGCAGAAACCCGGGUUCUCCAACCAGCAGUACGCUGACCAGCUCAGUGUGCAGGAGAUGACCACCUAGUACUUGCACUGCAACUUCAACCUGCCCUACCAGGAUGCUCGUAAGUGCCUGGGGUGCUUCGGUCUUAAGAGCCAUGCCCACAUCCUCCAGAUCUGCAAAUUGUCAGGGGGGCAGAAAGCCUGUGUGGUGCUUGCCGAGCUGGCCUCCAAGGAACCUGGUGUCGUCAUCCUGUAUGAAAAUGGGCUCUGCUUUGCCUUCCACCUGGCUCAUGCUUUGCCUCCUCCCUCCUCUUCACCGUGGUCUUCAUCAUCAGCCACAACACAUGAGUGAUCAUGGAGACCAGCUGCCAGCUGUGGGGGUGGCGGAGCGGUCCAUCAACCAGAUCAACAGCGACUUCGACUAC
Molecule: long non-coding RNA, 638 nt
Organism: Alligator sinensis (Chinese alligator)
Lineage: Eukaryota; Metazoa; Chordata; Crocodylia; Alligatoridae
Exons: 3
Source: RefSeq, a predicted model, not a curated record